This is a small nucleolar RNA of Conger conger (European conger), 109 nucleotides long. RefSeq annotates it as U8 small nucleolar RNA. The record is from RefSeq and is a predicted model, not a curated record. The transcript has a single exon. Lineage: Eukaryota; Metazoa; Chordata; Actinopteri; Anguilliformes; Congridae.
UUUUCAGUUGAACUUGCAGUUUAAAGAAAAUGAUGAAUGGACAAUAUGACGUGAUUAUUGUGUCUUUGAGUAUAGGAGAACUGCAACACUCCUAUAUCCCCAUUCUGAU